RNAcentral lists this ribosomal RNA (465 nucleotides) under uncultured bacterium. RNAcentral's name for it is "partial 16S ribosomal RNA". It matches the Rfam family "Bacterial small subunit ribosomal RNA", at positions 28 to 507 of the family's 1533-position model. The record is from RNAcentral.
GACGAACGCUGGCGGCGUGCUUAACACAUGCAAGUCGAACGGUGAACUCCGCUUGCGGGGGGAUCAGUGGCGCACGGGUGAGUAACACGUGGGCAACCUGCCCUCAGCUCUGGGAUAACUCCAAGAAAUUGGGGCUAAUACCGGAUGUGACCGCUGACCGCAUGGUCUGGUGGUGGAAAGAUUUAUCGGCUGGGGAUGGGCCCGCGGCCUAUCAGCUUGUUGGUGGGGUAGUGGCCUACCAAGGCGACGACGGGUAGCCGGCCUGAGAGGGUGACCGGCCACACUGGGACUGAGACACGGCCCAGACUCCUACGGGAGGCAGCAGUGGGGAAUAUUGCGCAAUGGGCGAAAGCCUGACGCAGCGACGCCGCGUGGGGGAUGACGGCCUUCGGGUUGUAAACCUCUUUCAGCAGGGACGAAGCGAAAGUGACGGUACCUGCAGAAGAAGCACCGGCCAACUACGUG